This 253-nucleotide ribosomal RNA is filed under the name uncultured bacterium. RNAcentral's name for it is "partial 16S ribosomal RNA". It matches the Rfam family "Bacterial small subunit ribosomal RNA", at positions 524 to 776 of the family's 1533-position model. The record is from RNAcentral.
UACAGAGUGUGCAAGCGUUGUCCGGAAUUACUGGGCGUAAAGGGCUCGUAGGCGGCCAACUAAGUCAUACGUGAAACCCCUCAGCUUAACUGGGGAACUGCGUGUGAUACUGGAUGGCUUGGAUUUGGGAGAGGGAUGCGGAAUUCCAGGUGUAGCGGUGAAAUGCGUAGAUAUCCGGAGGAACACCGGUGGCGAAGGCGGCAUCCUGGACCAAUAUUGACGCUGAGGAGCGAAAGCCAGGGGAGCAAACGGG